UACGGAGGAUGCAAGCGUUAUCCGGAAUGAUUGGGCGUAAAGCGUCCGCAGGUGGCUAUGUAAGUCUGCUGUUAAAGAGUGAGGCUCAACCUCAUAAGAGCAGUGGAAACUACAUGGCUAGAGUGCGUUCGGGGCAGAGGGAAUUCCUGGUGUAGCGGUGAAAUGCGUAGAUAUCAGGAAGAACACCGGUGGCGAAAGCGCUCUGCUAGGCCGCAACUGACACUGAGGGACGAAAGCUAGGG
Molecule: ribosomal RNA, 242 nt
Filed under: uncultured bacterium
Lineage: Bacteria
Description: partial 16S ribosomal RNA
Rfam family: Bacterial small subunit ribosomal RNA
Source: RNAcentral